GAUGAAGAACGCAGCGAAUUGCGAUAUGUAAUGUGAAUUGCAGAUUUUCAGUGAAUCAUCGAAUCUUUGAACGCACAUUGCGCCCGCUGGUAUUCCGGCGGGCAUGCCUGUUCGAGCGUCAUUUCAACCCUCAAGCCCCCGGGUUUGGUGUUGGGGAUCGGCUCUGCCCUUCUGGGCGGUGCCGCCCCCGAAAUACAUUGGCGGUCUCGCUGCAGCCUCCAUUGCGUAGUAGCUAACACCUCGCAACUGGAACGCGGCGCGGCCAUGCCGUAAAACCCCAACUUCUGAAUGUUGACCUCGGAUCAGGUAGGAAUACCCGCUGAACUUAAGCAUAUCAAUAAGCGGAGGA
Molecule: unclassified non-coding RNA, 349 nt
Filed under: soil metagenome
Description: partial contains 5.8S ribosomal RNA, internal transcribed spacer 2, and large subunit ribosomal RNA
Rfam family: 5.8S ribosomal RNA (bases 1-121)
Source: RNAcentral